This 464-nucleotide ribosomal RNA is filed under the name uncultured bacterium. Its description in RNAcentral is "bacterial SSU rRNA". It matches the Rfam family "Bacterial small subunit ribosomal RNA", at positions 30 to 518 of the family's 1533-position model. The record is from RNAcentral.
CGAACGCUGGCGGCAGGCUUAACACAUGCAAGUUGAGCGGGAAUGGUUGGUAGUUUGCUACUGAUCAUGAGAGCAGCGCACUGGUGAGUAACACGUGGGAACACACCUUUUGGUGGGGGACAACAGUUGGAAACGACUGCUAAUACCGCAUAAGCCCUAAGGGGGAAAGAUUCAUUGCCGAAAGAUUGGCCCGCGGAAGAUUAGGUAGUAGGUGGGGUAACGGCCUACCUAGCCGACGAUCUAUAGCUGGUCUGAGAGGACGAUCAGCCACAUUGGAACUGAGACACGGUCCAGACUCCUACGGGAGGCAGCAGUGAGGAAUAUUGGGCAAUGGAGGCAACUCUGAACCCCCAGCCAUGCCGCGUGAGUGAAGAAGGUUUUCGGAUUGUAAAGCUCUUUCAGACGGGAAGAUGAUGACGGUACCGUCAAGAAGAAGCACCGGCUAACUUCGUGCCAGCCGCCGC